UACAGAGGUCUCAAGCGUUGUUCGGAUUCAUUGGGCGUAAAGGGUGCGUAGGCGGCGAGGCAAGUCUGGUGUGAAAUCCCGGGGCUCAACCCCGGAACUGCACUGGAUACUGCUUUGCUAGAGUACUGGAGAGGGAACUGGAAUUUACGGUGUAGCAGUGAAAUGCGUAGAUAUCGUAAGGAAGACCAGCGGCGAAGGCGAGUUCCUGGACAGUUACUGACGCUGAGGCGCGAAAGCCAGGGGAGCAAACGGG
RNAcentral lists this ribosomal RNA (253 nucleotides) under uncultured bacterium. RNAcentral describes it as "partial 16S ribosomal RNA". It matches the Rfam family "Bacterial small subunit ribosomal RNA", at positions 524 to 776 of the family's 1533-position model. The record is from RNAcentral.